GGAAUAUUGGACAAUGGGCGCAAGCCUGAUCCAGCCAUGCCGCGUGUGUGAAGAAGGCCUUCGGGUUGUAAAGCUCUGUCGGGAGGGACGAAAGGGGCAACCCUUGACGGUAUCUCGCAAGAAAGCACCGGCUAACUUUGUGCCAGCAGCCGCGGUAAUACAGAGGGUGCAAGCGUUGCUCGGAUUUACUGGGCGUAAAGCGUACGCAGACGGUGAGAAAGGUCGGAUGUGAAAGCCCCGGGCUCAACCCGGGAACUGCAUCCGAAACCAUCUCGCUAGAGUAUGGGAGAGGGAAGCGGAAUUCCUGGUGUAGAGGUGAAAUUCGUAGAUAUCAGGAGGAACACCUGCGGCGAAGGCGGCUUCCUGGCCCAUUACUGACGUUCAGGUACGAAAGCGUGGGUAGC
This 404-nucleotide ribosomal RNA is filed under the name uncultured bacterium. RNAcentral's name for it is "bacterial SSU rRNA". It matches the Rfam family "Bacterial small subunit ribosomal RNA", at positions 358 to 769 of the family's 1533-position model. The record is from RNAcentral.